UAAAACAUGUUGAAAGGCAGAGUAAGUGCUCAAGCUUUUUAGAGAGCUGCUGGUUGGUGGAAAGCAGUAAGUGGCCGCACCGAAGAUGGGCCUGGAAUGGUACCGGUGAUUAUUAGCCGGUAACGGGUUAGCACACGUUAAUUGUGCUGGGUAAUUCUAAUUAUUUUGUUAGAGUAACCCACUGAGGCUGAGUCAGUGAUGACCCAGCGAACAAAGGUGGUAACGCGAAGCACUCGUCCUUUAU
Molecule: non-coding RNA, 244 nt
Filed under: Limosilactobacillus panis
Lineage: Bacteria; Bacillati; Bacillota; Bacilli; Lactobacillales; Lactobacillaceae
Description: Lactobacillus panis T-box sequence
Rfam family: T-box leader
About the family: Uncharged tRNA acts as the effector for transcription antitermination of genes in the T-box leader family. T-boxes are found upstream of many aminoacyl-tRNA synthetase genes and some amino acid biosynthetic genes usually in Gram-positive bacteria.
Source: RNAcentral